This 396-nucleotide ribosomal RNA is filed under the name uncultured bacterium. Its description in RNAcentral is "partial 16S ribosomal RNA". It matches the Rfam family "Bacterial small subunit ribosomal RNA", at positions 523 to 918 of the family's 1533-position model. The record is from RNAcentral.
AUACGUAGGGAGCGAGCGUUGUCCGGAUUUACUGGGUGUAAAGGGCGCGUAGGCGGGGAUGCAAGUCAGGAGUGAAAUGCAUGGGCUUAACCCAUGAACUGCUUUUGAAACUGCAUUUCUUGAGUACUGGAGAGGCAGGCGGAAAUUCCUAUGUAAGGGGGAAAAGCGUAGAUAUUAGGAGGAACACCAGUGGCGAAGGCGGCCUGCUGGACAGCAACUGACGCUGAGGCGCGAAAGCGUGGGGAGCAAACAGGAUUAGAUACCCUGGUAGUCCACGCUGUAAACGAUGAAUACUAGGUGUGGGGGGACUGACCCUCUCCGUGCCGGAGUUAACACAAUAAGUAUUCCACCUGGGGAGUACGGCCGCAAGGUUGAAACUCAAAUGAAUUGACGGGG